AUACGGAGGGUGCAAGCGUUAUUCGGAAUCACUGGGCGUAAAGGACGCGUAGGCGGGUUGGCAAGUCAGAUGUGAAAUCCUACAGCUUAACUGUAGAACUGCAUUUGAAACUGCUAACCUAGAGUAUGGGAGGGGGAGAUGGAAUUAGUGGUGUAGGGGUAAAAUCCGUAGAUAUCACUAGGAAUACCGAAAGCGAAGGCGAUCUCCUGGAACAUAACUGACGCUAAGGCGUGAAAGCGAGGGGAGCAAACAGGAUUAGAAACCCCAGUAGUCC
RNAcentral lists this ribosomal RNA (274 nucleotides) under uncultured bacterium. RNAcentral's name for it is "partial 16S ribosomal RNA". It matches the Rfam family "Bacterial small subunit ribosomal RNA", at positions 523 to 796 of the family's 1533-position model. The record is from RNAcentral.